Molecule: ribosomal RNA, 667 nt
Filed under: uncultured bacterium
Lineage: Bacteria
Description: bacterial SSU rRNA
Rfam family: Bacterial small subunit ribosomal RNA
Source: RNAcentral
CAGAUCACUGGCGCACGGGUGAGUAACGCGUAAGUAAUCUGCCCUUGGGUCUGGCAUAACUUCGGGAAACCGGGGCUAAUUCCAGAUGAUAUCGAAAGAUCAAAGUCUUCGGAUGCCCAAGGAUGAGCUUGCGUCUGAUUAGCUAGUUGGCGGGGUAACAGCCCACCAAGGCUACGAUCAGUAGCCGGUCUGAGAGGAUGAUCGGCCACAUUGGGACUGAGACACGGCCCAGACUCCUACGGGAGGCAGCAGUAAGGAAUAUUGCGCAAUGGACGAAAGUCUGACGCAGCAACGCCGCGUGCAGGAUGAAGGCCCUCUGGGUUGUAAACUGCUGUAGCGGGGGACUACAAGCCGCCUCAGGCGGAAUAGAAUGUACCCCGAAAGUAAGCGCCGGCUAACUACGUGCCAGCAGCCGCGGUAAUACGUAGGGCGCAAGCGUUGUCCGGAUUCACUGGGUGUAAAGGGUGCGCAGGCGGAUUCGUUAGUCAGAGGUGAAAUCUUACGGCUUAACCGUGAAACUGCCUUUGAUACUGCGGAUCUUGAGUUUGGGAGAGGUUGAUGGAAUUCCAGGUGUAGCGGUGAAAUGCGUAGAUAUCUGGAAGAACACCAGUGGCGAAGGCGGUCAACUGGCCCAUAACUGACGCUCAUGCACGAAAGCGUGGGAUCA